CAGCAGCCACGGGAAUACGUAGGUGGCAAGCGUUAUCCGGAACUAUUGGGCGUAAAGGGCUCGCAGGCGGUUUCUUAAGUCUGAUGUGAAAGCCCCCGGCUCAACCGGGGAGGGUCAUUGGAAACUGGGAAACUUGAGUGCAGAAGAGGAGAGUGGAAUUCCACGUGUAGCGGUGAAAUGCGUAGAGACGUGGAGGAACACCAGUGGCGAAGGCGACUCUCUGGUCUGUAACUGACGCUGAGGAGCGAAAGCGUGGGGAGCGAACAGGAUUAGAGACCCGCGUAGUCCCUGUCUCUUAUAC
Molecule: ribosomal RNA, 301 nt
Filed under: uncultured bacterium
Lineage: Bacteria
Description: partial 16S ribosomal RNA
Rfam family: Bacterial small subunit ribosomal RNA
Source: RNAcentral